Molecule: small nucleolar RNA, 66 nt
Organism: Tupaia belangeri (northern tree shrew)
Lineage: Eukaryota; Metazoa; Chordata; Mammalia; Scandentia; Tupaiidae
Gene: SNORD18
Rfam family: Small nucleolar RNA SNORD18
About the family: U18 is a member of the C/D class of snoRNA which contain the C (UGAUGA) and D (CUGA) box motifs.
Source: Ensembl
AUAAAAUGAUGAGAGCAAUUAGUCUGUGUUUCUGAAACACAUGUUAUUUGUGGAAAUUCCAAUUGG